Molecule: ribosomal RNA, 360 nt
Filed under: Triticum aestivum (bread wheat)
Lineage: Eukaryota; Viridiplantae; Streptophyta; Magnoliopsida; Poales; Poaceae
Description: partial small subunit ribosomal RNA
Source: RNAcentral
AUGCCAUCCCACAUCUUAGUUGGCUCCUUUCACUCAAACCAAAUCCAACGAAGCCUAAGCGCCCUAGCAAAUUUCUCUGUGUUUAGCACUCCAAGACCCCCAUUGGCGAUUGGGCGGCAAAUGGUGUCCCAAUUAACCUUGCAUUUGGCUCCGGUGGUCUUGUCCAUUCCUUCCCAAAGGAACGCUUGCUCAAGCUUGUUGAUAUUUUUGAGGGUGCUUGGAGGGACGACGAGCGAAGUGAUGAAGAAGAUGGCUUGGGAGGCAAGCACCGACUUGACCAAGGCGGUGCGUCCCAUAGAAGUGAUGUUUUGCCCGUCCCAAGGGACCAACUUUGUCGCAGCCUUAUCCUCCAGGAACUGA